CCUACGGGGGGCAGCAGUAGGGAAUAUUGCUCAAUGGGGGAAACCCUGAAGCAGCAACGCCGCGUGGGGGAUGAAGGUCCUCGGAGUGUAAACCCCUUUUGGUAGAGAAGAAAAUGACGGUACCUAACGAAUAAGCACCGGCUAACUACGUGCCAGCAGCCGCGGUAAUACGGAGGGGGCAAGCGUUAUUCGGAAUCACUGGGCGUAAAGGGGGCGUAGGCGGGUUUGCAAGUCAGAUGUGAAAUCCUUGGGCUUAACCAUAGAACUGCAUUUGAAACUGGUGUGCUAGAGUAUGGGAGAGGUAGGUGGAAUUCUUGGUGUAGCGGUGAAAUCCGUAGAGAUCAGGAAGAACACUGAUUGCGAAGGCGGCCUGCUGGAACAAAACUGACGCUGAUGCACGAAAGCGUGGGGAGCAAACAGGAUUAGAUACCCCUGUAGUC
This 440-nucleotide ribosomal RNA is filed under the name uncultured bacterium. RNAcentral's name for it is "partial 16S ribosomal RNA". It matches the Rfam family "Bacterial small subunit ribosomal RNA", at positions 338 to 795 of the family's 1533-position model. The record is from RNAcentral.